UGCAGUCGAGCGGAAGGCCCUUCGGGGUACUCGAGCGGCGAACGGGUGAGUAACACGUGAGUAACCUGCCCUAGGCUUUGGGAUAACCCCGGGAAACCGGGGCUAAUACCGGAUAUGACUGCUGGUCGCAUGGCUGGUGGUGGAAAGUUUUUCGGCCUGGGAUGGGCUCGCGGCCUAUCAGCUUGUUGGUGGGGUGAUGGCCUACCAAGGCGACGACGGGUAGCCGGCCUGAGAGGGCGACCGGCCACACUGGGACUGAGACACGGCCCAGACUCCUACGGGAGGCAGCAGUGGGGAAUAUUGCACAAUGGGCGGAAGCCUGAUGCAGCGACGCCGCGUGAGGGAUGACGGCCUUCGGGUUGUAAACCUCUUUCAGCAGGGACGAAGCGUGAGUGACGGUACCUGCAGAAGAAGCGCCGGCCAACUACGUGCCAGCAGCCGCGGUAAGACGUAGGGCGCGAGCGUUGUCCGGAUUUAUUGGGCGUAAAGAGCUCGUAGGCGGCUUGUCGCGUCGACCGUGAAAACUUGGGGCUCAACCCCAAGCCUGCGGUCGAUACGGGCAGGCUAGAGUUCGGUAGGGGAGACUGGAAUUCCUGGUGUAGCGGUGAAAUGCGCAGAUAUCAGGAGGAACACCGGUGGCGAAGGCGGGUCUCUGGGCCGAUACUGACGCUGAGGAGCGAAAGCGUGGGGAGC
Molecule: ribosomal RNA, 693 nt
Filed under: Micromonospora purpureochromogenes
Lineage: Bacteria; Bacillati; Actinomycetota; Actinomycetes; Micromonosporales; Micromonosporaceae
Also listed under: 1 other name
Description: bacterial SSU rRNA
Rfam family: Bacterial small subunit ribosomal RNA
Source: RNAcentral